Molecule: ribosomal RNA, 550 nt
Filed under: Deltaproteobacteria bacterium
Lineage: Bacteria; Pseudomonadati; Myxococcota; Myxococcia
Description: partial 23S ribosomal RNA
Rfam family: Bacterial large subunit ribosomal RNA
Source: RNAcentral
GAACACGCUACGAAGAGCAAGUGGUGGAUGCCUUGGCAUCGAGAGGCGACGAAGGACGUGAUUAACUGCGAUAAGCCACGGGGAGCUGUACGUAAGCGUCAAUCCGUGGAUCUCCGAAUCGGGCAACCGAACGGCCCAAUCAGCCGUUGCAAAGCGCGAACGCAGGGAACUGAAACAUCUAAGUACCUGCAGGAAUAGAAAUCAACCGAGAUUCCCUCAGUAGCGGCGAGCGAACGGGGAACAGCCCAAACCCACCAGUGUGUAAGCGGCAGGCGUUGCCUGGUAGGGGGUUGCGGGAAGGAGUCGGGUAAUCUGCAUGAGCCCGGGAAGUUAGAAAAAACAGCGCGGUAGCAGAACAUAUUGGAAAAGUGGCCAGAGCGGGUGAUAGCCCCGUAUGCGACACUGCGCUGUCUUCCAUUCCUAUCCCAAGUACGGCGGGACACGUGAAACCCUGUCGGAAUCCGGGGGGCCCACCCUCCAAGGCUAAAUACUACUCGAUGACCGAUAGUGAACCAGUACCGUGAGGGAAAGGCGAAAAGAACCCCGACAA